RNAcentral lists this ribosomal RNA (468 nucleotides) under uncultured bacterium. RNAcentral's name for it is "partial 16S ribosomal RNA". It matches the Rfam family "Bacterial small subunit ribosomal RNA", at positions 28 to 507 of the family's 1533-position model. The record is from RNAcentral.
GACGAACGCUGGCGGCGUGCUUAACACAUGCAAGUCGAACGGAAAGGCCCUGCUUUUGUGGGGUGCUCGAGUGGCGAACGGGUGAGUAACACGUGAGUAACCUGCCCUUGACUUUGGGUUAACUUCAGGAAACUGGGGCUAUUACCGGAUAGGAGCUCCUGCUGCAUGGUGGGGGUUGGAAAGUUUCGGCGGUUGGGGAUGGACUCGCGGCUUAUCAGCUUGUUGGUGGGGUAGUGGCUUACCAAGGCUUUGACGGGUAGCCGGCCUGAGAGGGUGACCGGCCACAUUGGGACUGAGAUACGGCCCAGACUCCUACGGGAGGCAGCAGUGGGGAAUAUUGCACAAUGGGCGGAAGCCUGAUGCAGCAACGCCGCGUGCGGGAUGACGGCCUUCGGGUUGUAAACCGCUUUCGCCUGUGACGAAGCGUGAGUGACGGUAAUGGGUAAAGAAGCACCGGCUAACUACGUG